CAGGAAAACUGGUUUGUUUUCCUGGCACUGGAGAGUUCCUUUAAAGGACCACUAUAGUGCCAGGAAAACAUACUCGUUUUCCUGGCACUAU
Molecule: microRNA precursor, 91 nt
Filed under: Pelobates cultripes (western spadefoot toad)
Lineage: Eukaryota; Metazoa; Chordata; Amphibia; Anura; Pelobatidae
Source: RNAcentral